AACGAACGCUGGCGGCAUGCCUAACACAUGCAAGUCGAACGAGACCUUCGGGUCUAGUGGCGCACGGGUGCGUAACGCGUGGGAACCUGCCCUUAGGUUCGGAAUAACUCUCCGAAAGGGGUGCUAAUACCGGAUAAUGUCUUCGGACCAAAGAUUUAUCGCCUUUGGAUGGGCCCGCGUUGGAUUAGCUAGUUGGUAGGGUAAAAGCCUACCAAGGCGACGAUCCAUAGCUGGUCUGAGAGGAUGAUCAGCCACACUGGGACUGAGACACGGCCCAGACUCCUACGGGAGGCAGCAGUGGGGAAUAUUGGACAAUGGGCGAAAGCCUGAUCCAGCAAUGCCGCGUGAGUGAUGAAGGCCUUAGGGUUGUAAAGCCCUUUUACCCGGGAUGAUAAUGACAGUACCGGGAGAAUAAGCUCCGGCUAACUCCGUG
RNAcentral lists this ribosomal RNA (433 nucleotides) under uncultured bacterium. RNAcentral describes it as "partial 16S ribosomal RNA". It matches the Rfam family "Bacterial small subunit ribosomal RNA", at positions 29 to 507 of the family's 1533-position model. The record is from RNAcentral.